Molecule: ribosomal RNA, 256 nt
Filed under: uncultured bacterium
Lineage: Bacteria
Description: partial 16S ribosomal RNA
Rfam family: Bacterial small subunit ribosomal RNA
Source: RNAcentral
UACGUAGGGUGCGAGCGUUGUCCGGAAUUAUUGGGCGUAAAGGGCUCGUAGGCGGUUUGUCACGUCAGGAGUGAAAACUCGGGGCUCAACCCCGAGCCUGCUUCUGAUACGGGCAGACUGGAGGUAUGCAGGGGAGAACGGAAUUCCUGGUGUAGCGGUGAAAUGCGCAGAUAUCAGGAGGAACACCGGUGGCGAAGGCGGUUCUCUGGGCAACAACUGACGCUGGAGGAGCGAAAAGCGUGGGGGAGCGAACAGG